CGGAGACACUGGGGCUCUGACGAGCUGGCUGAGGCCCUCUCAGUAGGGGGGUCACGCCUCCUGGAACUCAGGGACCCCAAGUUUCUGUGCAUUCAGGGCGGGGCUGGCCCCAUGCCCUGUGCAUAGGGGCCUGGCUGCAUCCCAGUCGAUCAGCCAGAGGCAGCAGCAGUGGACUCAUCAAUUGUGGAGGAAGCCCUGGGGACCCUGGGGACCUUGCCGACUCUAUUCCCAGCCAGCUCCUAGGACAAGCCUCAGAGCCAACACCCGCUCGACCCUCUCCCGGCCCCUCCCCUUCUUUGUCUUUUGCAGAUGAUCGCCGGGUGUCGAUCCUUUUCCCUCCAGUCAGAUGAGGACACUCAGAUUCAAGGACAUAAGUGACUGGUGCAUAAUCACACAGCUAGGAGGUGGCUGCACCAGGAUUCAGAUGCAGCCUGUCUGAUGCUGACCACAUGGUCUGUGGGGUGCUGCAGAAAGAAAACUGCAUAAAGAAGGUGAUCCUGGCCUCGGGGAGUUCCUGGUGUGUGCCUCCAGCCAGCGUGGUACCCUGCAGAGGGCACUCCGGGCCAGGCGUGGACGCCGCCGGACCGCUGAGACUCGGGGCACGGUGAAGCACUGGCCGGGGUCUGGCUGGGUCCGGCGCUCGGGAGCCAGAUGGAGGUGGCGAUAGGGGCCGUGGGAGCCGGCGCCAAGUAGCCGGUGGACCCCCGCGCUCGCACCUCUCCCGGCGCCCGGGCGCUCCCCAAGGCUGCCAUGGAGGUGCCUAACGUCAAGGACUUCCAGUGGAAGCGCCUGGCGCCACUGCCCAGCCGCCGGGUCUACUGCUCCCUGCUGGAGACCGGGGGCCAGGUCUAUGCCAUCGGGGGAUGUGACGACAACGGCGUCCCCAUGGACUGCUUCGAGGUCUACUCCCCGGAGGCCGACCAGUGGACCGCCUUGCCCCGGCUGCCC
This 948-nucleotide long non-coding RNA is filed under the name Homo sapiens (human). Its description in RNAcentral is "non-protein coding lnc-NUAK2-2:1". Lineage: Eukaryota; Metazoa; Chordata; Mammalia; Primates; Hominidae. The record is from RNAcentral.